Long non-coding RNA from Anolis carolinensis (green anole), 16598 nucleotides. RefSeq lists it as uncharacterized. The transcript has 4 exons. Lineage: Eukaryota; Metazoa; Chordata; Lepidosauria; Squamata; Anolidae. The record is from RefSeq and is a predicted model, not a curated record.
AUUUAACUUAUGGUAUAUUAUAAUCUGCUUUCAGUCCUUGAAAAAAAGGCAAGAUAUAAAUAGAAUAAAUGAACAAAUUGUUAAAUAUAACCCUUUUGUGUUGGUUGAUCUCAUAGCCUGCCAACAGAACUACUCUGUUGGCCAAGAUCUGUCAGCAGAAGAGCCAAAAAAAAAAAGCCAAAAAUCCUCAGGAACAAAGAAGGGAUAGUGUGAGAGCAGUUGAAUUACACUCCUCCAGUCCUGGAACAAGCUAGUAUUCGCCCAGGAUUAGGUUAGCCCUUAGUAAUUUUGAAUUGGUGAAGAGGAUUUGGAAUCAACACAGCUUCAGUUGACUUUGUAUUGCAUUGAACUGGUCCUUGACUAUCUUGGCCAGUUAAAAUUGCAUUCUAAGACUGCAUCCCUAUACACACACCAAGUAUGUCUGACUGAAUUCAGUUGGACUUCAAAGUCACUGUACCAAGGACUGGGCUGUGUGUCCUAUAUGUGGACUUCCCAUAGAUAUCUCAUCUGCUCAUCUGAUUCCAGCAGGUUCUUUUGGGUGCUUUUCUUCCAUCUUGGAUUCAUUAGCUUCCAUGUCUUCAAACUUUACAUUCCUUAAAAAACCCCCAGCAAUUAUCCUUUUGCUGUGACCAUUGUCAAUAUUCUUUAAAUGAAAAACUGUGGCCAAAAUAUGCAUUAAGUCUUUGUGCCAUUCCGACAACGUCUUAUGGCUCUUCACUAUGCAACUGUCUUACUUAUUCUGUUUAAUGUUUAGCUUUUAUUGAUGUAACUUUACAAUCCCUUGCCAUCUGUAAUAGCUUUUAGGCACAAACCCAGUUCCCUAUAUUCUUUAGCAAUUUUGUCUUUAUUCCCACGUUUUUCACUUCUGCAGUAACACCCCCCCCCACACACACACACACAUAACUUUCUUCAAUUAUACACUGUUUUAUCCCUAUUUCUUAAUGGCUGUAUUUUUUAAAACUGAUUAUGCUGCUUGUAUGUAUAAUAUAUGCCAUGUAGUCAUUAUAAAAAAAUCUGCUUCUCUUCUGCAUUCAAAAGUAAGUUGCUGACACACUUACCCAGCUCCAUAUUUAUUUUUAACAGAAAAACAUAUUCUAUGACCUGAUUCCACAAGCUGAGGCACCAUUAUAUUAUAUUUCUAACAGUGUUCCAACAGAAUAAUUGUUCCUUCUCUCAGCCCAAAUACAUUCUUUUGUGCAUUUAUUAAAAUAUUUAUAUCCUGCCUUUUGUCUGGAAUAGGGCCCUUAAGGCAGUUAACAACCAGCAGGUGAAGCACAACAGCCAAAUAAAACAUCAUAAUGCCCUUGACAAAACAGUAAAUAUGAAUCUCAUAAAUCAGAAGCAGAAUUAGAUAAACUUAUUUCAAAAUAAAUUUAUUUCAUAUGAUUUCAAAAUGUGCCCAAUCAAAUUCAGACCCAAACAACAGAGUUUUGUAACUUUUCUAGUUAUAGACAGAACAAGAGAAAGGUUGGCCAACAUAGAUGCUGUGUUUUUCUAUCCUAUCAUGCAUAAUGUAAUUAUUAGCCUUUUGGAAUAAGGUGCUCUCUCUCUCUCUCUCUCUCUCUCUCUCUCUCUCUCUCUCUCUCUCUCUCUCUCUCUCUCUCUCUAUAUAUAUAUAUAUAUAUACACACAUAUUUUAUUUCUACCUCACCACCAUCUCUCCAAAGGGACUCGGGGAGGCCAACAAAAUACAGCAAAGUGUAGAUAAUACAUAAAUAUGAAAUGAUAAAAACCACAGAAUUACAACACACACAUGCAUAAUUACAAUGUAAAACAUUAAAAUUCAUAAAAUGCAGCCAUAGCUGCAGAUAAAAGCCUAGUGCUGAUGUGAUGCCCACAGAAAGUCCUCGGACUAAUUCUUAAAAACCCAUGUAAGCUCAAAGGCUUGCUUUAAAUCCAUCGGUUCAUAGAAGGAGAUGCGGUCUCAAAGAUAGGUUGGACCCAAAGCAUAUAGGUUCAAAUCUUCACUCAGUUAUGGAUCUCAUGCAAUGAGGUCAGGGUUACCGAAUUGUAUUGCUUGCAACCAUUCUGUCUCUGGUCCCAGAAUCCACUAGGACAGACUCUGGCUUCAACUCAGGACCAAACUCAGAGUCUUCUGGCAAAACUGGCUGUAUCUCAGGCCCAAACCCAGAGUCCUCUGGCAAGGUUGGUGCAGGGACAAUCACUGGCUGAAUGAGCCCAAUCUCAAGCUGGGCUACAACAGACAUUGCCCAGGGGACACCUGGAUGUUUUCAUGUUUUUACCAUCCCUGUGGGAGGCUUCUCUCAUGUCCCUGCAUGGAGCUGGAGCUGAUAGAGGGAGCUCAUCCACGCUCUCUCCAGGUUGGAUUCAAACCGGCAACCUUCAGGUCAGCAUCCCAACCUUCAAGUCAUCAUUCCUGCUGGCACAAGGGGCUCCACCCCCACAGUGAUGCUACAGCUCCAGUUGCUUACCCUUCACCCCAUCUAAGCAAGCAUAUGAAACCGCUUCCAGCAAAACCAAAACUCCAAGAUUUCAAUUUUUUCCUCCCCUUCACAACCUCUUCCAAGUAGGAAAUCCCCUUCCUCAAAAAGACAGGAAGAUUUAAAUUAUCUGCUCCCCUUCAUUCUAUGCCUUUUAGGCAGGUAAUAGUAAUCCUUUGCAUUGGCAAGAUGGCAGUUGCUUCCCCCACCCUUCUUCCAACAUAGGCAGAUAAAAGAAAACCCAGCCCAGUUACAUUUUCUUACUAUCCAAAACUCCAAGCAAUCUUCAAUGUUGUAAACUGAAGCAACUAAAACUGUGACUCCCCCAUAUUUGUUUCCUGGCCAAAUAUGUAUGGUGUCAUAGCAGGAAUUGGUUUAACACAGAAGUAAGAUUUUUGCACUAUUUUCACCAAAUGAAAUUGCAUGCUGAAUUAUUCUGCCCAUAAAUGCACAUGCAUUCUUUGUAAAAACAAUUGUGCCUUUUUUUGUCCAAAAUCCCCAUGUUUUUUGUGCAUGGGAUAGCCACAGAGCUUGAAAGGUUACUUUUUAAAAGGAAUUAAUCCUCCCAAUCAUUAUACUGUAGGUUUUUUUUAAGUAGCUCACUGAUGAGGAAAACUGCAUUAUUUGUUGGCAUUUCUCAUUGUUUCUCAUUUAGCUUCUCUUACAUUUUUGAGGAAAAUCUCCUAAUAUAAAUAAGAAAUUUGAGGGAAAUUCUUGUCAAAUUAUCUCUAGAAAUAACCAUUAAAAUGACUUUGAAAGGAAAAGGAUGGUAUUGAUACUGCUCUGUGGAGAGCUUCAACAGAGCUCCACAAUCUUGGCUGGUAUUUUUCAUGUCAGGAGUAUAGAGAAUUAUUGCUGGGUCUUAAAAUGAGCUCUCCAAGGUGCUGGACCUAUUUGGGUAGCUGAGGUUCAGCACCUUAGAUUGUUUCCUUAAAAUCAGGAUUAAACCACAAAUUGCCUUCCCAUGCAUACUAGAAGCUACUGUUAAAGCUCCACAAAGUCUUACCAGUCAUAUCAUAGAGCAGGCUUGACAACCCUCUCAAGGCUUCAAUGUGGCCUGCAGAGGCUCUGAGCAGAGUAGCAAUCAGAACUCAUCAUUCCCUCCUCCAAGUGUUUUAACUCUACAAGUUUCCUUUCUGUAUGUACCAAAGGUACAAAACUAACCUGUGUCAAAGUGGGCACCACCAAUAGAUCUAGUCAGGAUGCUGGAAGUGCUGGUCUCAGUUGGAAACACAGCCUGGGGAGGUUGUUGGACUAAGGUUGGAAUAUUGGGGUGCAUUGAUGAAGUACAGUAGAGUCUCACUUAUCCAACAUAAAAGGGCCAGCAGAACAUUGGAUAAGCGAAUAUGUUGGAUAAUAAGGAGAGAUUAAGGAGAAGCCUGUUAAACAUCAAAUUAGGUUGUGAUUUUACAAAUUAAACACCAAAACAUCAUGUUACACAACAAAUUUGACAGAAAAAGUAGUUCAGUAUGCAGUAAUUCUACAUAGUAAUUACUGUAUUUACGAAUUUAGCACCAAAAUAUCACGAUGUAUUGAAAACAUCGACUACAAAAAUGCGUUGGAUAAUCCAGAACGUUGGAUAAGCGAAUGUUGGAUAAGUGAGACUCUACUGUAUUAAGGGGUAUCGGACUUUUAUUCAGGGAAAUUGGAAUCUUGUGCUCCAGGUUAUGUUAAAAGUUAACAUUAGAUUGGUCAUUUUAGAGGAGGAAGGAUUGGUAAAGAAGAAGGGCCUCUGUUCUUGCUUCUGCUGCUCUUCCUUUCUCUUUGCCUCUGCUGUCUCCUCAUCCAGCAGCAAAACCACCAACUCCACACCAUUUCCUUGUGAGGGAGAAAUUUGGCUACAGUGCCCCUCCUUUCUCUUUUUCCUCUGUGUUGCCUCUGUCACCUCCUCCUCCUCUGAUGGGAAAAACAGCCAACUCCCUGCUCUUCAUUUCCCUCCCUUGUGAAGAAGGAACGUAGCUUCAUUGUGAAGUUGUUGUGAGGUCUUCCUAGCAAAGCAAACAGCACAGAGUUGGCAGUUUUUCCUCCCUUAAGAGAAGCAGACCACAGAGGCAACCUAGAAAAGGACUUCAACUCACCACCACCCUGAGGGGAGGAGGGAAAUGGAAGCGAAUCCUUUUUGUUCUGAGGGAAAGGCGCUCUCUCGGAAACCCGGCAUGAGACACUAAAAACCUGUCUGUGGCCCAAAGAGGUUUAGUCUAUUUAAUUUUGAUCCCUUAUUAUUGCCAAGUUGUGCAGGCCUGCCAUAAAGUUUCAGAUUCUGAAUGUGUAGUCCACUAAGCAAGCACAAAGGAAGAUGUCAAGCUGGGAGAAAUCCCAGGUAGUUGUUCACAUAUUCUAGUUCACUACUGAAAUGACAACAAAUUGUGUGUUGUCAUACUAAUGCUAUAGCCCUUCAGAUCACAACAGGGGAGCACAUUUCCUCUCAACUCGGUAUCUUGCCAUCUUUCUUUAAUCAUCCUGAUUCUUUCAUCUUGCUUAUUUUGCAGUCUCCAGAAAAAUGGCUUGUCAGAAGUGAAGGAGGAUGACGUACAUGAUACAGCAAUCUUUAAAAACAAAGCAAAACAUAGUAUUUGUGCUUUGUUCCAUAUGGCAUAGCUGCCAUGAUUAAACAAUUAGCAAAUUCACCAAGAGGUUUGGGGUUUUGCCCUCCUCAUGAUCAAAAUGUUACGCAGGUUUUAUCUAUUUGUGGAUAUAACUAUGUAACCAACUGGAACAGCUCUGUAUACUUGCUUUCUGAUGCAUCCUUUAUAAUGUGAGAAAAAAUAGAAUAUGACAAUUUGUUUAAUAUUUUAGGUAGGGUUCAUGGUGGAGGAAGAAUAUCUCUUUUCAGUGUGUAAAUUCCCUUUCUGAGAAUGAGAGGACUAAAAUGGUUAUUUUAGUACACAGCUUUCAUGUUAUGCUCUUGCUCUGCUAGUUUGGCUCUUCCUCUUCUUAGUUUCCCUUUCAAGCUCAUUAAGUUUUUUCUUUGUCAGAUGAUGACUCUGUGUGACAUAUGGGUAGCUGAACAUGCUAUUCAACAGAUGCCCAUGUCAUUAAAAUGUACCAUGGGUAUGGUAUGCUUUGUGGUUAGUUUCUUGGUGAGUUUGCUACUGUAUUUUUUAUGGUUGUUCCACUCUAGCCUCAAGCAACUUGAUCAGAUGUGUAAGAUCCGUCCCUUCUUUGUCUUUAUUUCUCUUGUACCUCAAUUCCAGCUGUCUUCUCAUCAAAUUCUAGUGAUGAUGUCACAAAACUCAGUAAGGAAGAAGGUUGUUGGUUCUGCACUAGCAUUUAUUAUGAGCAGGGAACAACAGUUUCUUUUAUAGUGGGAAUAUCUGAGCAGGUCCUUCUCUCUGUCCCACCAUAUCACAGGUUCAUAGGUACAGAUGAGGCCUUUUCUCUGUCCUCCCCAAAACUCUGGAAUUCUAUUCCUGGAGUGACUGGCACCUUCUCUCCUAUCAUUUUGCAGGCUGCUAAGGACUAAGAAGUAAUUGCUCAAAGCUUACAGAGCAGGGAUUCCUCAGAGCAGGUUUCAGCACUAGAACUGUGUAGUGCACUGUCUGUCAGUCAGUCCACCAGCAACCAUGGAGUCCCUACUGCUUACAAGACAAUUCCAGCUGCUCGCCGUGUAGUGUGCUGUCCGAACUAAUCAAGAGGCUGUGCAGAUCCUGAACCUGUGCUUGGCAGCUGUGUCGGACUGGACAAGGGCGAACAAAUUGAAAUUGAAUCCAGACAAGACAGAGGACCUCCUGAAGGUCCAGAUGGAUGCAAGCUGUUUCGACGAUGUGUGAUGUGUGACCAUGACUCCAUUUAAAAAAUCCUUCUGCUAAGCAUGAGAGGAAUAAACCAGUCAAGGCAGGUGGGGAGAAAUAAACUGGAGCACAGAUUCUAUAUAGGUGGGCACUCUAUCAAGGUGGAGAUACGAUUCCUGUAAGCUGCAGUCAUCACCAUUCUUCACUGCUCUUGUAGUAUCAUCCCUUUCUAACUGCAUCCUUGAUAAAACCAGGCUCCUCACACAGUCAUUUUGCUAUGUUGUUCCCUGACUUUAGGAGUUUAGCUACAGGGCAUGUCAAAGGAAGGCAUUACCCUGCCCCAAGAAGAAUUUUGCUCCCACAAAUGAAAAUACAGUACAAUCUCACUUAUCCAACAUAAACGGGCUGGCAGAACAUUGGAUAAGUAAAAAUGUUUGAUAAUAAGGUGGGAUUAAGGAAAAGCCUAUUAAACAUCAAAUUACGUUAUGAUUUUAGAAAUUAAGCACCAUAACAUCAUAUCGACAGAAAAAGCAGUUCGAUACAAGGUAACCCUAUGUAGUAAUUACUGUAUUUACGAAUUUAGCACCAAAACAUCACAAUGUAUUGAAAACAUUGACUACAAAAAAUUGACUACUAAAAGGCAAACUGCAUUGGAUAAUACAGCAUGUUGGAUAAACGAAGGUUGGAUAAGCGAGACUACUGUGUCCUUCAGCCCCCAAUUUCUAGCAUUGCAGAAAGUAAGAGUUCUAUUUCUCAUUCCCCAGGCAAAUUUAUCCGGCUCUUUUAUUUGAAUGCCUGAACUCUAUUUCUAAGAGCCCAAUUGAAAGUUUAAGUUACUGCAAUGCAGAACCUGGGUUCCAAAAUUCUUAUCGAGGGAAUGCCCUCAUUUUGCCCCUACACCCCUGUCAGGACUGACCCUGUUUAGCAGCAAAGACCAGGAAAGAUCUGGGGCUUCAGACUGAUGACAAACCAUCAUGAUAAUGGAAGACGAUAUAGGGUAGAGAAACCUUUUAGGGCAGACAUUCAAAGAUGUAUAGCAUGCCCCAGGGUAGAAAGAUAAAAGAUUGAGGACAAGAUGGAAGGGACAUCAUUGUCUGUUUUCUUCACUCAUUGAUGUGCAAAGAAUACUGGUUUUAUCGUGUAUGUGUGUGUGUGUGUGGGGGGGUGUCAGUUAUUUCAGAAAUUUGUCAUAUCUGUUGUACAUGCAGGGAGGUGGAGAAGAGAAGGAAAAAAGACAAGAAGAAGAAGAAAGGAAAAAGAGGAGGAACAAGGAAAGGGCAAGUUUGCCGUGUGCAUACGCCGUGAAAUCCUACAACACCCACCUUCAAUUUUCUUUUGUCUUCACACUCAUGUAAAUUUUAUUUGUGGUAUUAUAAUGUUUGUUAAACUUGCCUCCCUUUCUUUCAGUUUCUAACCUGGUCCAACUAACUCCCAGCCUCUCUCUUCAAUACAUGUUGAAAAGGACAAAUGCCAAGAGCCAAACAUAUGCUUCAGGAAUACCAAAUAUGUCAGGUUUAAAACACCCCGCCCUUAUAUGCCUGUUGGCUUCCUUGUUAAGUGCAAAGGCUCAGAUGGGACCUGCUUGAGGAGAACGGAAGCAACUUGAGGCUAUGAGAUACAUUCUUUCAAGCUCUUGCCAAGCCUCCAUUCCAGCUGGGCAUUUCAGUCUUGUUGCAAUACCAAGUUAAGACCAUGCUCACUAAAAAUUAAUGAGGUGGAUGAGGAUGUGGCAGCAGGCACAAGGGAUGUACAGAAUCCAGAAGAGCCUUCAGCAGGAAAUAAGCAAUGAAAUAUCCAUAUGGCUGGAAUCUUAUGACAUUGAGUUGCAAAAUACAGGUUAGUGAAUUUAAUUUGUUCCCAGGCAUUAUAUUUUCAAUAGCAAAGUUGAUUGCAAAGGCAAAUAUAAAAUUAGAAGAAUCAAGAUAAUAUACACCGAAAAAAAGGAAAGAGAAGUUCGAAGUGUUUCAGCAAUAUUUUAUUAAAAACUAACAAUGUGCACAUAUGAGAUGAAAUACCAACAAGAAGUAAGCUUUAUAUGUGAAGGAGAUUGGUGAGGCAGACUUUCUCUUUGUUUUGUUGUUUGCAUAAGCUCAAUAGAGGAUUCAGAGGGUAACUGCUGUUUUCCAUGACUGUUCUAAGCAGGCAAACAUAGUUGCACUAGGACUGGUUAGUUAGAGUAGGAACACAUUCUUUCACUGCUCAAGCUUCAUUACUUCAUUUACUGUAGGCACACGGCUGAAGUCUAAUACCAAGAAUCUAUUUUUCUCCAGACUUUGUUCACUAUCCUUGUUCUCUGCUGCUCUAAAAACUGAGACAAUUGAUUUAAAAUACAAGAAAAGAAAUUUCAACUCAACAUUAGGAGGAAUUUCCAAACACAAAGGUGUGGUGAGCAGUAAAAUAGAUUGCCUUGGGGGAUAAUGGGUUCUCCUUCUUUGCAGGUCUUUAAACAUAAGUUGGAUGGGCAUCUCCCUGAAUUCUUUAGAUAUGUACAACUGUGCAUGGCAGGCCAUGGGACUCAAUGGCCUUUGCAGUGCCUUCCAGCUCUCAAACUCAUCCUUGAGGUAUCAGCCAAGUGGACAUUGCAGAAAGCACAUAGAGGUGAAUUUUUGAGAAAUGCCUCCUGUUACACCCACAGAAGUGGCAGAUUCGCUUAACUUUCCUUUCAUCACGUCAUAGCCCAAAUUGAUUAUAAUAAAUACUGCCUGUUUUCCCUAGCCAGCCAAUAAAUACAGAGGUCUUCCUAGUCCAUGACUCAAACACCAGCUGUUGCUCAUUCCUGGAGUCCCCUACUUUUUCCAUCUCUCAGCUAUACAAGUCACCAAUUGACGCAAAUCCUCCCACCCCACAAAACUCAGAGACAAAUUUAGAACAUUGUUAUUGACAAUAGCAGGGAGGAAUUGGACACCCCCAGAUGCAAAAAUGUACACUGUUGGCUCAGUUCAGUAACCCCUUCCCUUUCUCAUCCCUAGCUUUGUUAGAGGAAGACAUUAUCUGGUGGGGAAGCUAUUCCAGCUCUGUCUUGAGGAUGCCAGCACAACACUGGGGACAUUGAGAUCCAACAUUGUUUCACUGUAGCUUCACUGUCAAUGCAAUUAUGUUCGCAAUCCAUAUACUGAAUGCUAACAUAUGUGGAUCAAUGACUGUCAAACCACUGUACAUUUGCAAUGCACAAUAUAGAAAUGCACUGAAUCAAUGUGCAUUCACACCCUGUUCUAAGUAUUUUAAUGUACUACAGUGUGUGCAAUAAUCCAAUAUGGCAAACUCCUCUCACACCACAAACUGGAUAAAACUAUUAUGCAUUGUCCAAAAAAUAAAAACUGAAACCACUCCACGUGCCACAUUUACGAGCCUUGUUGUAUUAGAUAUGCACAGGAUAGCAACUGUCUUGGACCAUACCUCUGGGUUUAAGCUGGUGUAUGAAAUACCACUGCCAUGAUUUAGAAGCCCUGUAAUAGUCUGGCUACAGAGCUGGAGGCUAAUAGAGAACACAGGAUUCUACCUCUGAGCCAGCAAAACCUUGAGCUGGCCAAACCUGAACCCAUGAGAUCUGAAACCUACCUGUAAGAAACUUGGAAUCUAUUGUGCUUUGUCCCAGUACCAAGAAACAACCCGCAUCAAGAAAUCCUAUGAUCACAGGAACAAGAACACAACUAGUAUGUUUAGCAAGAACUCCUGGACAGGCAACAAAGUGCCAGGCUGCAUGCCUGAGCCUCAGGUCAGUUUCAGCCAUCCCCACAACAAUAUAUUUAUUUGUUGCUAUCUUUGAAGCUGCACCUUCUUGCUACCUGCUCUCGGGUAUCCAUCACUGGCUUCAACAUUAAAGGCAUAAACCUCAUAUGUACUGAGGAAGGGGUUGUGAAGGGAAAAUGAGAUGGUUGCUCUAGGCUGAUCCAUUUGCUUGUUUUAGUCUGGUAAAAUGUCUGGAAGUAAGUGCUUCAUAUCAGUUUCACUAAUGUGAAUAUUUUGUUUGGUUGUACCUUCAUGUGUAUGCAUUAUGUCAUGCUAAAUAAUAAACAUUCAUGUUUAUAACAUUACAUGAAAUGCCCUGGAGAACCAGAGGCUGAUCAGAAGGCUGUCUCCGUGACUUUCUAGGGCACCAUGCAGAGGGGGAUGAUUUGAUGCUUAUAAAGCCAGGAGGAGGUUUUAAUAGACUACCCAGUUGAGCAGCCCUUAAUGCAUCAACAGCAGGACUUUGACAAGGAAAGGGGCAGGAAACAUGCCAGAAUAAAGGGAGGAUUCGAUGUAUCCAAUAAGUAACCAGAGUGAGAAGACUGAUACCUAUUCAGAUGGGCCUGGAUAUAUUGUCACCUUUUGACUUUUUCUAGGUGGCCAUUGUUAUGAAGAUAAUUUUACUUUUCUUUCCAGUCUUUGCUGUGCCUCUGUGGUGUACUAAUAUAAAAAUUAAUAAUAAUACCAUUUAUUUGUUACCCGUUUCUCCUCAAGGUAGGGUACAGCAUAGUUAAAAUCUUUAUACAGUAUAUAAAAAUACAGUCUGCAUAUGUUUGUGCAGGCAGAACUCAAAAAAGUAAUUGGUCAGCUAGUUUAGCUAGUACAUAGAUUUAGCUAGUACAUAGAUAAAAAUGUUUAUUUUUUUAAAGGUUGGGUGCUCACUCCACCAUGGGCUGGUCUCGAACACAUGACCUCUUCAUCACAGUGAUUUAUUACAGCUGGCUACUAACCAGCCUGCGCCACAGCCCGUGAUAUAGAAUUAAGAUUAAAACACAUCAAAGUCAUUCAUCCCAAUAAAAUGUAAAUUUACAUGUAUAGUUUAAAAAUGAGUGAAUAGGCCUGCUGGAUGAGCAAUGACAUAAUACAAAAAACUCAAGCAGAGUACAGUGAAACUAUGGAACACUUAAAUGUGGGCUUUAAAGCAUGUAAGUGUGACUGAUUGUGUAUUAUAAGAGAUGGAUAUAAUAGAUUACAAGCCCAGUUACUAAACUCCUAGCCAAUCUUCCACAAACAUCACUCACAACAUCACUGGGAUCCUGUCAAUAUUAUGGCAACCACUAUUCUGCCAUGUACAAAUGCCAGUCUUAUGGGCUUCUGUAAUCAAGUCUAGAUUUUCUCACGUCCUAUCAGUAUAGGGAAUUCCUAAAGCAAAAAGGAUAAGUAUUUUUCUAACCCUACUAUGGCCAUCCAGUAUAGUUACUCUUACUUUCUUGCCAUCAGCUCAUAGUACUAGCUGACUAUAUUCUGCUAGCAGAAAUAUCAAAUUUCUUUAGAGUACCUGUCAAUCUAGCCUGCUGAUCUCAAUUCUGCUGGAGGAGAUUGUCAUAUUGCCAAUGCUGAAGAAAGUUUAAACUGCUAGUUGAGACAAUUAUCUAUGCCAAGUAUGUUAGAGGGGCCUAGGGAGUCUUCUGUUUCACCUCAGGCCACAAUAUGUCUUGAGUCAGUUCUAAUGAACUGGACUUCUCCCACAACUUACUUGUGCAGGUGUAAAGCCCUGUUGAACUUUGGGUGUCAGACUGAGGCCAUCAGUUUGACAUGGGGCUGUGUAAUUAAUUAGUUUCCUGAAAGAUCCUUUCAAAAUCAUUGAAGAAAAUGGUUUAUGGGUUUUCCAGAAUGAAUGUCAGAUAAUAUUAAAACUGUAUAAAAUAGAACUAGGCCAUAGGCUGCCCAUUGGCAACCCUGAACUGGUCCAACUCUCAAAUAAAAACUAAAGAACUUCCACCUGUCAAGAGCGGUGCAUAUUGGUUGUUUUAUUUCAGGCAAUAAUAUGUCAUGAAUCAAAAGAAAAAAAUGUCAAAACUGAGCAAGGAUGCAAACUACAAAGCCCACUAAGGAAAAGCAGCUUCUUGACAUAUUAGUAUAAUAAACUCAUCACUUCCAAUAGCUCUGCCUCCAGUAACUUUAAGCAACUUGGAUAUGCAUAAAAGAGUGAUUACAGACACUGCCAGAAGUGCUAAUUAAAAACCAUUAACUCGCUUCCAUAAACAUGUGAACACUUCUUUUCAAACAAUGAUGGACCUUAGCUCUGUGAAAUGAUAUAAUCCAUUACCAAACUAUUCAAGCCCAAAAUUAUGAUCUUAUAAAACAUCUCCUUGCUCUAUAGAAACAUAACUUUCCGGACUAUUCUAAAAAUGCAAUGUGAAACAGAGUGUUUAUUACCUCCAAACUGUCUCCCUAGUCAAAUAACCUGGAUAGCUGGAGUGACAGCCCCGCUGGGUUAAAAAUGCUGCUGGAUGCCAGGUCAGUAAAUUUAAAAACAAGGGCCACGCAGGGGCUGAUUCUGGAUGAGCAUUCUCUUUGGACCUGUACUACAGAUACGUGGUUGAAUGAAACUUUCUCAGCUCUGCCCUCCAGGUUUUUCUGUGCAGCAGCAGGUGAGACCUGGGUGGAGGGGGUAAGGUGGAGCUCCAGUGGUCUAUUGUGAUUCCACCCCCUAGACAGUCUAGACACCCCCUAGACCUCACAGUCUGCAGGGUUUGAGUGUGUAUACCUAAAGGUGGAUAGACAGGACAGAAUAGGAAUUUUGUUGGUGUAUCACCCACCCCAUUGCUCAAGUCUCCCUUCCCAAGCUAGCAGGGGUGGUCCUGGAGUUAGUGUUGGAGUCUCAGUGGAUACUAGUGCUGGGAGAUUUCAACAUCCAUGCUGAAACUGCACUGUUGGGAAUGGCUCAGGACUUCAUGGCCUCCACAACAGCCAUAGGUCUGCCCCAAGUGUGUAAUCCUACUCAUGCUGCUGGGCACACUCUGGACCUUUCUGUGCUGGAUGGGAUGAUGGUCAUUGCUUUAUGGAGGAAUUCACUAGUCCUGUUGUCAUGAACAUGUUAUUACUUGGUCAGGUUUAGGCUCAGUGGGACUUAAAACUUCUGUAGAGGUGUGGGACCAAUUAGGAUGAUUUGCCACAGGAGGCUGAUGAAUCUGGGUGGAUUUCUGAUGGCUCUUGCAGAAUUUCCUGUCACAUUGGCAGGUUAUCCUGUUGAAGUUCUGUCUGAACUCUGGAAUAGAGAAAUGGCCAGGGUAAUGGACAUUGAGCAUCCUCUCUUAUGAAGUGGGUUCAAACCACCCCCUGGUUUCCUGGAGGGACAAACCCAGAAGGUGGUGCUGGAGGAUUCCUAUUCAAGCCACUGACUCUUGGCCUGUGGGGUCAGGGCUCUGUUUUCUCCCCUCUUCUGUUUAACAUAUACAUCAAACUACUUGAAGGGACCUUUUCAAGAGUAGUACCAUUUAUAUGGAGAUGACACCCAACCCUAACUACUUCUUUCCACCUCAAGCCAAGGCAGCUGUCUUGAUCCUAAACCAGUAAUGGGCUGGAUGAAAGAAAAAAAAAUUGAAACACAUGCCAGACAAGUUAGAGGUGCUCCUGAUCAGUUGCAAGGCAAAUCAGGAAAUAGUGAUUAUACUCCACAUGAAGUCACGGGGCUACAAUAUGGGGGUGCUCCUGGACUCGCCAUUGAAUUCAGAUGCCCAGCUUUUUUUGGUAGCCAGAAGUGCCUUUGCACACUUAAAACUUGUGUGCUAACUGCAUCUGUUCCUUGAGACGUCUGAUCUGACCAUGGUGGUAUGUGCAUUGGUUACAUUCUGUUUGGAUUACUGGAAUGCAUUCUAUUUGGGCUGCUUUUGAAGAGUGUUUGGAAGCCUCAGCUCAUCCAAAGAGUUGCAACCAGAUUGUUAACUGGGACUGGCUACAAGAAGUGCACAACUUCCCUGUUGCAAUGGCUCCACUGGCUGCCAAUCUGUUUCUGGGCAAAAAUCGGAGUCCUGGUUUUGACCUAUAAAGCCCUAUAUGGAUUGGGUCCAGUCUAUUUGGCAGAUUCUAUCUCCUAACACAAAGUUGCUCAAGCCCUGAGAUCCUCAGGAAAGGCCCUUUUCUCAGUCCCACCACCAUUGCAAGCACAAAUGGUGGGAAUGCAAGAGAGGGCCUUCUUGGUGGCUUCCCCUUGACUCUGGUCCCUCCCUGCUGGCCUUCCAGCGGCAGGCUAAAACUAGUUUUAUUUGGGCAGGCAUUUAAAGAAAAAAGUUUUUCAGAACCUGGUGUGUGUGCACGCAAUAUAUGGAAUUUGAUUGUUUAACCAUUUUUAAUUGUUUGAGCCAUUUUAAUUUACUAUUGAUUAAUUGAUUAAUGUUUAAAUCUAUUUUAAUAUUUGAAUGUUGUGGGUUUUAAAUUGCAUUGUUUUAAUGUUAUGAGCCACACUGCAUCUCAAUCAAGAGACAAAAGCAAAAUAUAAAUUACAUUACAACAAAUUACAACCUCAUUCUUACACUAAUUCUAGUUGAUCUGUUUUCCAUAAAAGGGGAACAAUACUUUUUUUUGGGAAAGAGUUGGAAUCUGUUAAGAGGUGUUUGCACACUAAAUACCAUUUUUACCUGAGAUUAUACAAGUUUUCAUUAAAAGAAGCCCUACCACAGCUGUUUCAUGAGCAGGAACAUUAUAAUGUAUAUGGAUGUGGUAGGAAGUGUGCCUCUCCCAAGCAACUUUUCAUUCUCUUAAAAUUUAUUCUCUGUCAAAAUCUAUUGCCUUGCAAUUUUUCAAAGCAAGAGAUCAAAAGCAAAACAUGGCAUUCUUACUGCUGCCUUGGACUGAAUGAAUACUUGGCAUUUCCCUUUCUAAUAAUUCAGGGCUGUAUUUGCUUUCUGAGCGACUGUAUCAAACUGAUAGCUCACAAUAUUGUUGUGAUUGACCAGGAAACAGACCUUACAUAAUGUGUGUCUGAGGAAUUCUGAGCCGAAACAUUCAAUUCAGAAUUAUUCCACUGCAAUUUUAUUUUGGCUCCUGAAGGGAAAUUUUGACACAACCACCUGGCAGUCUGGGUGCCGUUCCAUACUCCCUUCUCACCAUUGUCAGCCUUUCUCAACACAUUGACUUUCAUGAUGCUGACCUAUGUAGGCCUUUGACAAAUGCCAAUGAUGACUGGAAUUGACAUCUAUAGUAUCGCAUCUAGAAGCUCUUGCUUGUAUAUUCCGGUCACAGCAUUUGAGCUCUUGGUCAGGAAGUGAAAGAGGCUUUAAUCUUUUCCACCCGAUUGACCAUUACGUCAAAAUGAAAUUAGAGUCACAGCUUUUUAUGAAGCUUUUUCAUUCUUGCUAAUUGAUUUCACUGCCACCACCGAACAAAUACAUAGAAAUGUAAUUAGUCAAAAUGCAACAUUCUGUGCAUGUGUGUCCCACACACCUACCUACCUCUACUCCUACCUCUUUCCAUCCUUAUGAAAGAAAAGGAAACAGCAUGAUGAUCCAGAACUACCUAAUGGAUUAUUGAGAAGGGAAGAGAAAUAAGAGAUACAACCUGCUGUCCUGAGGACAAACAAAUGACAAACAGGAUACUUUCACAUAUCACACUUUACCCUGUAUAGGGGUUGAAUGUUUGCUGUAUAUGUGUUCUGACAUCAUCCCUGAGUCCCCUUCGGACGGAAUAUAAAUGCUGUAAAUAAAAAUAAAAUAAAUAAACAAUGGCUAAGUGUUACCCUGUUGAUCUUCCUGGAUCUCUCAGUAGCCUUUGACAUUAUUAAUCAUGGUAUCUUACUGAAAUAGCUCUGUGAGAUGUUAAUAGAGGGCUUUGUCUUACAGUGGUUCGACUUCUAUCUCCAGUUCCAGAGGGUAGCACUGGGAGAAUGCCUUCACUGCUGUCCUUCCGAUGGGCUAAAACAGACUUUUGAAGAUGGUGAUUUUUAAGUUCAAGUCAAGGGGUGCUUUGGUUUUUAAGUUUGGGUAUGUUUUAAUGGAUUUCAACUGUGAUUUUUUAAUAUUGUUUAUAUUUAAUUCUGUUUUAAUGUUUGCAUAUUUGUAUAUUUUAAAAUGUAUGCUAAUGCUUUUAUGUUAAGCUGCUUUCAGUCUCCUUCAGGAGAGAUAAAGCGGGGUAUAAAUAAAUAUAAUAAUAAUAAUGCUGUUCAGCCCCAUGGCCAUUAAUCACAGAGUUUCAUCUUCUCCCUCGUGUUCUCUAAUACUGUAUCUCCACAAAGCUGCUGGGCAAAGUCAUUAGGGCCUUAAUGGCACUCAGCUCUGUUCUUCCUUGUCAUCAGGGUCAGCCGGGACUGUGGAGUUGCUGGGCCAGUGCUUGGAUGCUGUAAUAGGCUGAAUAAAGGCCAACAAACUGAAGGUGAAUCCCAGUAGAAUGGAAGUUUUUGUCAUUAUGAAUUGGUGGUUCUUCAGGUCCAGGAAUUGGGUAAACACUAGUCUGGAUGUGGUUGUACUUUUGAAAGAGCAAGUAUACUACUGAGAAUAUUCCUAAAUCAAUCCCUGUUACUGGAGACCCAGUUGGACUCUGACUAUGAGUGCUUGAUGCCAGUUUUCAUUUGUGCUAUCAAUUCCCAGUGAGGAAACGCCAUUCAAUUUGUGUUCCAGUAAUCUCCCGCUUGUUUAUUAUCCGGGGACCAAUCCAAAACAGGUCUAUUUUUACAAGCCUUUGAGACAAAAACAAAUGUUUUGUUUGUUUUCUACUCCUGCUGGUUUGAAUAAAUUGCAUUUUGGCAGAUGUAUGUAAUUUA